This 467-nucleotide ribosomal RNA is filed under the name uncultured bacterium. RNAcentral describes it as "partial 16S ribosomal RNA". It matches the Rfam family "Bacterial small subunit ribosomal RNA", at positions 28 to 523 of the family's 1533-position model. The record is from RNAcentral.
GACGAACGCUGGCGGCGUGCUUAACACAUGCAAGUCGAGCGGGAAACUUCGGUUUCUAGCGGCGGACGGGUGAGUAACACGUGGGCAACCUGCCUCACAAUGAGGGAUAGCCCUCCGAAAGGAGGAUUAAUACCUCAUAACACAAGAGAAACACAUGUUUCUCUUGCCAAAGAAUUUCGUUGUGAGAUGGGCCCGCGGCGCAUUAGCUUGUUGGUGAGGUAACGGCUCACCAAGGCUUCGAUGCGUAGCCGACCUGAGAGGGUGAUCGGCCACAUUGGAACGGAGACGCGGUCCAGACUCCUACGGGAGGCAGCAGUGGGGAAUACUGCAAAAUGGAGGAAACUCUGAUGCAGCAACGCCGCGUGAGUGAUGAAGGUCUUCGGAUUGUAAAGCUCUGUCUUCUGGGACGAUAAUGACGGUACCAGAGGAGGAAGCCACGGCUAACUACGUGCCAGCCGCCGCAGUAA